This 342-nucleotide ribosomal RNA is filed under the name Clostridioides difficile. RNAcentral's name for it is "bacterial LSU rRNA". It matches the Rfam family "Bacterial large subunit ribosomal RNA", at positions 2538 to 2882 of the family's 2925-position model. Lineage: Bacteria; Bacillati; Bacillota; Clostridia; Peptostreptococcales; Peptostreptococcaceae. The record is from RNAcentral.
CAUCACAUCCUGGGGCUGUAGUAGGUCCCAAGGGUUGGGCUGUUCGCCCAUUAAAGUGGUACGCGAGCUGGGUUCAGAACGUCGUGAGACAGUUCGGUCCCUAUCCGGCGCAGGCGUAGGAAAUUUGAGAAGACCUGUCCUUAGUACGAGAGGACCGGGAUGGACGUACCUCUGGUGUACCAGUUGUUCUGCCAAGGGCAUGGCUGGGUAGCUAGGUACGGAAUGGAUAAGCGCUGAAAGCAUCUAAGCGCGAAGCCAACUUCAAGAUAAGAUUUCCCACCGCAAGGGUAAGACCCCAGAAAGACUAUCUGGUUGAUAGGUCGAAGGUGUAAGUGCAGCAAU